This 560-nucleotide ribosomal RNA is filed under the name uncultured bacterium. RNAcentral describes it as "bacterial SSU rRNA". It matches the Rfam family "Bacterial small subunit ribosomal RNA", at positions 338 to 916 of the family's 1533-position model. The record is from RNAcentral.
CCUACGGGAGGCAGCAGUGGGGAAUCUUGGACAAUGGGGGCAACCCUGAUCCAGCCAUGCCGCGUGAGUGAAGAAGGCCCUAGGGUCGUAAAACUCUUUCGCCUGUGAUGAUAAUGACAGUAGCAGGUAAAGAAACCCCGGCUAACUCCGUGCCAGCAGCCGCGGUAAUACGGAGGGGGUUAGCGUUGUUCGGAAUUACUGGGCGUAAAGCGCACGUAGGCGGAUUAGAAAGUUAGAGGUGAAAUCCCGGGGCUCAACCCCGGAACUGCCUUUAAAACUAUUAGUCUAGAGUUCGAGAGAGGUGAGUGGAAUUCCGAGUGUAGAGGUGAAAUUCGUAGAUAUUCGGAGGAACACCAGUGGCGAAGGCGGCUCACUGGCUCGAUACUGACGCUGAGGUGCGAAAGUGUGGGGAGCAAACAGGAUUAGAUACCCUGGUAGUCCACACCGUAAACGAUGAAUGCCAGUCGUCGGGUAGUAUACUAUUCGGUGACACACCUAACGGAUUAAGCAUUCCGCCUGGGGAGUACGGUCGCAAGAUUAAAACUCAAAGGAAUUGACGG